This 936-nucleotide ribosomal RNA is filed under the name Filobasidium magnum. RNAcentral describes it as "eukaryotic LSU rRNA". The stretch from base 305 to 936 matches the Rfam family "Eukaryotic large subunit ribosomal RNA", at positions 1 to 614 of the family's 3401-position model. Lineage: Eukaryota; Fungi; Basidiomycota; Tremellomycetes; Filobasidiales; Filobasidiaceae. The record is from RNAcentral.
UUUGAACGCACCUUGCGCUCCUUGGUAUUCCGAGGAGCAUGCCUGUUUGAGUGUCAUGAAACCCUCAAACCCAAGUUUUGGAUUUCGAUCCAUGCUUGAGUUUGGAUUUGGAUGUUUGCCGGUGAUGAACCGACUCAUCUUAAAAGUAUUAGCUUGGAUCUGUCUAUAUGACUGGUUUGACUUGGCAUAAUAAGUAUUUUGCUGAGGACAUCUUCGGAUGGCCAGGACCUAGACUACUGUCUGCUAACUAAACCAUCACUUUAAGUGCAUCUUUGGAUGUUACUCAUUGUGUAACUUUGACAUCUGGCCUCAAAUCAAGUAGGACUACCCGCUGAACUUAAGCAUAUCAAUAAGCGGAGGAAAAGAAACUAACAAGGAUUCCCCUAGUAACGGCGAGUGAAGCGGGAAGAGCUCAAAUUUGAAAUCUGGUGGCCUCAGGUCAUCCGAGUUGUAAUCUAUAGAAGUGUUUUCCGUGCUGGCUCAUGUACAAGUCCCUUGGAACAGGGCGUCAUAGAGGGUGAGAAUCCCGUCCUUGACAUGAACUACCAGUGCUCUGUGAUACAUUUUCAACGAGUCGAGUUGUUUGGGAAUGCAGCUCAAAAUGGGUGGUAAAUUCCAUCUAAAGCUAAAUAUUGGCGAGAGACCGAUAGCGAACAAGUACCGUGAGGGAAAGAUGAAAAGCACUUUGGAAAGAGAGUUAAACAGUAUGUGAAAUUGUUGAAAGGGAAACGAUUGAAGUCAGUCGUGCUCUUUGGAUUCAGCCGGUUCUGCCGGUGUACUUCCUUUGAGUGGGGUCAACAUCAGUUUUGAUCGCUGGAUAAAGGCUGGAGGAACGUAGUACCCUCGGGUAAACUUAUAGCCUCCUGUCACAUACAGUGGUUGGGACUGAGGAACGCAGCACGCCUUUAUGGCCGGGAUUCGUCCACGUACGUGCUU